CCUCUAUCGGUAGUGUGGUCAGUAGUGAGGUCAGUAGUGUGAGCGGUAGUGUGGUCAGUAGUGUGGUCAGUAGUGAGGUCAGUAGUGUGGUCAGUAGUGUGGUCAGUAGUGAGGUCAGUAGUGUGGUCAGUAGUGUGGUCAGUAGUGCGAGCGGUAGUGUGGUCAGUAGUGUGGUUAGUAGUGAGGUCAGUAGUGUAGUCAGUAGUGAGGUCAGUAGUGACGUCAGUAGUGUGGUCAGUAGUGUGGUCAGUAGUGAGGUCAGUAGUGUGGUUAGUAGUGAGGUCAGUAGUGUGGUUAGUAGUGAGGUCAGUAGUGUGGUUAGUAGUGUGGUUAGUAGUGAGGUCAGUAGUGUAGUCAGUAGUGAGGUCAGUAGUGACGUCAGUAGUGUGGUCAGUAGUGUGGUCAGUAGUGAGGUCAGUAGUGAAGUCAGUAGUGUGGUCAGUAGUGAGGUCAGUAGUGAGGUCAGUAGUGUGGUCAGUAGUGAGGUCAGUAGUGUGGUUAGUAGUGAAGUCAGUAGUGUGGUCAGUAGUGAGGUCAGUAGUGAGGUCAGUAGUGUGGUCAGUAGUGAGGUCAGUAGUGUGGUCAGUAGUGAGGUCAGUAGUGAGGUCAGUAGUGUGGUCAGUAGUGAGGUCAGUAGUGUGGUCAGUAGUGAGGUCAGUAGUGAGGUCAGUAGUGCAAGCUGUACUCACGGCGUGGCUGGGAGCGGGUCAGGGUGCUCUGGCCCUGGUAGCC
This is a long non-coding RNA of Astyanax mexicanus (Mexican tetra), 732 nucleotides long. RefSeq lists it as uncharacterized. The record is from RefSeq and is a predicted model, not a curated record. The transcript is spliced from 5 exons. NCBI's taxonomy places the organism in Eukaryota, Metazoa, Chordata, Actinopteri, Characiformes, Acestrorhamphidae.